AUGCAAGUCGUGCGAGAAAGUGCCUUCGGGUGCGAGUAGAGCGGCGGACGGGUGAGUAACGCGUAGGAAUCUACCUAGUAGAAGGGGAUAGCCCGGGGAAACUCGGAUUAAUACCGUAUACCUCCUUAGGGAGAAAGAGGGCUUAGCUUUGAUGCUCUCGCUAUUAGAUGAGCCUGCGUAAGAUUAGCUUGUUGGUGAGGUAAUGGCUCACCAAGGCGACGAUCUUUAGCUGGUCUGAGAGGACGAUCAGCCACAUUGGGACUGAGACACGGCCCAGACUCCUACGGGAGGCAGCAGUGGGGAAUAUUGGACAAUGGGCGCAAGCCUGAUCCAGCCAUACCGCGUGUGUGAAGAAGGCUUUCGGGUUGUAAAGCACUUUAAGUAAGGAGGAAAAGAUUGUAGUUAAUACCUACAAUCCGUGACGU
Molecule: ribosomal RNA, 425 nt
Filed under: uncultured bacterium
Lineage: Bacteria
Description: bacterial SSU rRNA
Rfam family: Bacterial small subunit ribosomal RNA
Source: RNAcentral